CUGCUGCCUUCCGUAGGAGUUUGGGCCGUGUCUCAGUCCCAAUGUGGCCGUCCACCCUCUCAGGCCGGCUACUGAUCGCUGCCUUGGUGGGCCGUUACCCCGCCAACUAGCUAAUCAGACGCGGAUCUAUCGUAUACCACCGGAGUUUUUCACACUGCCCCAUGCGGAGCCGUGCGCUUAUGCGGUAUUAGCACCUAUUUCUAAGUGUUACUCCCCCGGUAUACGGCAGGUUAUCCACGCGUUACUCACCCGUCCGCCAA
This 260-nucleotide ribosomal RNA is filed under the name uncultured bacterium. Its description in RNAcentral is "partial 16S ribosomal RNA". The record is from RNAcentral.